RNAcentral lists this ribosomal RNA (978 nucleotides) under Triticum aestivum (bread wheat). RNAcentral's name for it is "partial small subunit ribosomal RNA". Lineage: Eukaryota; Viridiplantae; Streptophyta; Magnoliopsida; Poales; Poaceae. The record is from RNAcentral.
AUGGUGAGCCCAGAUUCCGCAAAAUGGCUUGAAGCCACGAAAUCUGAGAUGGGAUCCAUGUAUGAGAACAAAGUGUGGACUAUGGUUGACUUGCCCGAUGAUCGGCAAGCCAUCGAGAAUAAAUGGAUCUUCAAGAAGAAGACUGGCGCUGAUGGUAAUGUUACUGUCUAUAAAGCUCGACUUGUUGCAAAAGGUUUUCGACAAGUUCAAGGGAUUGACUACGAUGAGACCUUCUCACCCGUAGAGAUGCUUAAGUCUUUCCGAAUCAUGUUAGCAAUUGCUACAUUUUAUGAUUAUGAAAUUUGGCAAAUGGAUGUCAAAACUGCAUUCCUGAAUGGAUUUCUGGAAGAAGAGUUGUAUAUGAUGCAACCGGAAGGUUUUGUCGAUCCAAAGGGAUCUAACAAAGUGUGCAAGCUCCAGCGAUCCAUUUAUGGACUGGUGCAAGCCUCUCGGAGUUGGAAUAAACAUUUUGAUAGUGUGAUCAAAGCAUAUGGUUUUAUGCAGACUUUUGGAGAAGCCUGUAUUUACAAGAAAGUAAGUGGGAGCUCUGUAGCAUUUCUGACAUUACAUGUGGAUGACAUAUUAUUGAUUGGAAAUGAUAUAGAAUUUCUGGAUAGCAUAAAAGGAUAUUUGAAUAAGAGUUUUUCAAUGAAAGACCUUGGUGAAGCUGCUUAUAUAUUGGGCAUCAAGAUCUAUAGAGAUAGAUCGAGACGCUUAAUUGGACUUUCACAAAGCACAUACCUUGACAAAGUUCUGAAGAAGUUCAAAAUGGAUCAAGCAAAGAAAGGGUUCUUGCCUGUGUUACAAGGUGUGAAGUUGAGUAAGACUCAAUGCCCGACCACUGCAGAAGAUAGAGAGAAAAUGAAAGAUGUUCCCUAUGCUUCAGCCAUAGGCUCUAUCAUGUAUGCAAUGCUGUGUACCAGACCUAAUGUGUGCCUUGCUAUUAGUUUAGAAGGGAGGUACCAAAGUAAUCCAUGA